This 374-nucleotide unclassified non-coding RNA is filed under the name soil metagenome. RNAcentral describes it as "partial contains 5.8S ribosomal RNA, internal transcribed spacer 2, and large subunit ribosomal RNA". The stretch from base 1 to 120 matches the Rfam family "5.8S ribosomal RNA", at positions 35 to 154 of the family's 154-position model. The record is from RNAcentral.
GAUGAAGAACGUAGCGAAAUGCGAUAAGUAAUGUGAAUUGCAGAAUUCAGUGAAUCAUCGAAUCUUUGAACGCACAUUGCGCCCGCCAGUAUUCUGGCGGGCAUGCCUGUUCGAGCGUCAUUUCAACCCUCAAGACCCCUUCGGGGGACUUGGUGUUGGGGACCGGCACAGGGGCCUGCCUGCUUGUCUUGCAGCGCCCUCGCCGCCCCCGAAAUGAAUUUGCGGCCUCGUCGCGGCCUCCCCUGCGUAGUAGCACAACCUCGCAACGGGAACGUGACGGCGGCCACUGCCGUAAAACAACCCAAUUUUAUUAGAGUUGACCUCGAAUCAGGUAGGAAUACCCGCUGAACUUAAGCAUAUCAAUAAGCGGAGGA